Molecule: long non-coding RNA, 208 nt
Filed under: Prunus persica (peach)
Lineage: Eukaryota; Viridiplantae; Streptophyta; Magnoliopsida; Rosales; Rosaceae
Description: long non-coding RNA (PPER_LNC008691)
Source: RNAcentral
ACCAAAUGACUCCUCCCACAAUAUUAUGAUGUUCCCCAAGUUUUGGACUCAAUCCGAUAUCGAUUGGUCCUUGAAAUCGGACAAUUCAGUUCCGUACGAAGUUCGUUCUGAAAUGGUGUGGUUGGUGUAUUGUAUAGUUCUAGAGAUUGGAUUUCACUCAAAACCCACCAAAUGACUCCUCCCACAAUAUUAUGAUGUUCCCCAAGUU